This 497-nucleotide ribosomal RNA is filed under the name uncultured bacterium. Its description in RNAcentral is "partial 16S ribosomal RNA". It matches the Rfam family "Bacterial small subunit ribosomal RNA", at positions 28 to 507 of the family's 1533-position model. The record is from RNAcentral.
GACGAACGCUGGCGGCGUGCCUAAUACAUGCAAGUAGAACGCUGAAGAGAGGAGCUUGCUCUUCUUGGAUGAGUUGCGAACGGGUGAGUAACGCGUAGGUAACCUGCCUGGUAGCGGGGGAUAACUAUUGGAAACGAUAGCUAAUACCGCAUAAAAUGUAUUAUCGCAUGAUAAUCCAUUGAAAGGUGCAAAUGCAUCACUACCAGAUGGACCUGCGUUGUAUUAGCUAGUUGGUGGGGUAACGGCUCACCAAGGCGACGAUACAUAGCCGACCUGAGAGGGUGAUCGGCCACACUGGGACUGAGACACGGCCCAGACUCCUACGGGAGGCAGCAGGAGGGAAUCUUCGGCAAGGGACGGAAGUCUGACCGAGCAACGCCGCGUGAGUGAAGAAGGUUUUCGGAUCGUAAAGCUCUGUUGUAAGAGAAGAACGAGUGUGAGAGUGGAAAGUUCACACUGUGACGGUAUCUUACCAGAAAGGGACGGCUAACUACGUG